This 253-nucleotide ribosomal RNA is filed under the name uncultured bacterium. RNAcentral's name for it is "partial 16S ribosomal RNA". It matches the Rfam family "Bacterial small subunit ribosomal RNA", at positions 524 to 776 of the family's 1533-position model. The record is from RNAcentral.
UACAGAGGUCCCAAGCGUUGUUCGGAUUCAUUGGGCGUAAAGGGUGCGUAGGUGGCGCCGUAAGUCGGGUGUGAAAUUUCGGAGCUUAACUCCGAAACUGCAUUCGAUACUGCGGUGCUUGAGGACUGGAGAGGAGACUGGAAUUCAUGGUGUAGCAGUGAAAUGCGUAGAGAUCAUGAGGAAGACCAGUGGCGAUGGCGGGUCUCUGGACAGUUCCUGACACUGAGGCACGAAGGCCAGGGGAGCAAACGGG